Molecule: ribosomal RNA, 253 nt
Filed under: uncultured bacterium
Lineage: Bacteria
Description: partial 16S ribosomal RNA
Rfam family: Bacterial small subunit ribosomal RNA
Source: RNAcentral
UACGUAGGUGGCAAGCGUUGUUCGGAAUUAUUGGGCGUAAAGGGCGCGUAGGCGGCGACUCAAGUUAGAUGUGAAAGUCCUGGGCUUAACCUGGGGACUGCAUUUGAUACUGGGUUGCUUGAAUUCGGGAGAGGAUAGCGGAAUUCCCAGUGUAGAGGUGAAAUUCGUAGAUAUUGGGAAGAACACCGGUGGCGAAGGCGGCUAUCUGGACCGACAUUGACGCUGAGGCGCGAAAGCGUGGGGAGCAAACAGG